RNAcentral lists this ribosomal RNA (497 nucleotides) under uncultured bacterium. Its description in RNAcentral is "partial 16S ribosomal RNA". It matches the Rfam family "Bacterial small subunit ribosomal RNA", at positions 28 to 507 of the family's 1533-position model. The record is from RNAcentral.
GAUGAACGCUGGCGGCGUGCCUAAUACAUGCAAGUCGAGCGAACAGAUGAGGAGCUUGCUCCUAUGACGUUAGCGGCGGACGGGUGAGUAACACGUGGAUAACCUACCUAUAAGAAUGGGAUAACUUCGGGAAACCGGAGCUAAUACCGGAUAAUAUAUUGAACCGCAUGGUUCAAUAGUGAAAGACGGUUUUGCUGUCACUUAUAGAUGGAUCCGCGCCGCAUUAGCUAGUUGGUAAGGUAACGGCUUACCAAGGCAACGAUGCGUAGCCGACCUGAGCGGGUGAUCGGCCACGCUGGAACUGAGACACGGUCCAGACUCCAACGGGAGGCAGCAGUAGGGAAUCUGCCGCAAUGGACUAAAGCCUAACGGAGCAACGCCGCGUGAGUGAUGAAGGUAUUCGGAGCGUAAAACUCUGUUAUUAGGGAAGAACAAAUGUGUAAGUAACUAUGCACGUCUUGACGGUACCUAAUCAGAAAGCCACGGCUAACUACGUG